GCCUAGCCCCGAUUGAAGCAUUUGUUUGAGCUCCUUUUUUGAUUUUUUUUCAAAAAAGAGCGAGUGCGGAAAGCGGGAAAUAGC
Tenacibaculum dicentrarchi is the source of this 84-nucleotide non-coding RNA. NCBI's taxonomy places the organism in Bacteria, Pseudomonadati, Bacteroidota, Flavobacteriia, Flavobacteriales, Flavobacteriaceae. The record is from Rfam.